Molecule: ribosomal RNA, 1339 nt
Filed under: uncultured bacterium
Lineage: Bacteria
Description: bacterial SSU rRNA
Rfam family: Bacterial small subunit ribosomal RNA
Source: RNAcentral
GACGAACGCUGGCGGCGCGCCUAACACAUGCAAGUCGAACGAGCGAGAGAGAGCUUGCUUUCUCAAGCGAGUGGCGAACGGGUGAGUAACGCGUGAGGAACCUGCCUCAAAGAGGGGGACAACAGUUGGAAACGACUGCUAAUACCGCAUAAGCCCACGACCCGGCAUCGGGUAGAGGGAAAAGGAGCAAUCCGCUUUGAGAUGGCCUCGCGUCCGAUUAGCUAGUUGGUGAGGUAAUGGCCCACCAAGGCGACGAUCGGUAGCCGGACUGAGAGGUUGAACGGCCACAUUGGGACUGAGACACGGCCCAGACUCCUACGGGAGGCAGCAGUGGGGAAUAUUGCACAAUGGGGGAAACCCUGAUGCAGCGACGCCGCGUGGAGGAAGAAGGUCUUCGGAUUGUAAACUCCUGUUGUUGAGGAAGAUAAUGACGGUACUCAACAAGGAAGUGACGGCUAACUACGUGCCAGCAGCCGCGGUAAAACGUAGGUCACAGGCGUUGUCCGGAAUUACUGGGUGUAAAGGGAGCGCAGGCGGGAAGACAAGUUGGAAGUGAAAUCCAUGGGCUCAACCCAUGAACUGCUUUCAAAACUGUUUUUCUUGAGUAGUGCAGAGGUAGGCGGAAUUCCCGGUGUAGCGGUGGAAUGCGUAGAUAUCGGGAGGAACACCAGUGGCGAAGGCGGCCUACUGGGCACCAACUGACGCUGAGGCUCGAAAGUGUGGGUAGCAAACAGGAUUAGAUACCCUGGAAGUCCACACUGUAAACGAUGAUUAAGUGGGUGUUGGAGGAUUGACCCCUUCAGUGCCGCAGUUAACACAAUAAGUAAUCCACCUGGGGAGUACGACCGCAAGGUUGAAACUCAAAGGAAUUGACGGGGGCCCGCACAAGCAGUGGAGUAUGUGGUUUAAUUCGACGCAACGCGAAGAACCUUACCAAGUCUUGACAUCCUGCGACGAUGCUGGAAACAGUAUUUUCCUUCGGGACGCAGAGACAGGUGGUGCAUGGUUGUCGUCAGCUCGUGUCGUGAGAUGUUGGGUUAAGUCCCGCAACGAGCGCAACCCUUAUGGUCAGUUACUACGCAAGAGGACUCUGGCCAGACUGCCGUUGACAAAACGGAGGAAGGUGGGGAUGACGUCAAAUCAUCAUGCCCUUUAUGACUUGGGCUACACACGUACUACAAUGGCGUUAAACAAAGAGAAGCAAGACCGCGAGGUGGAGCAAAACUCAGAAACAACGUCCCAGUUCGGACUGCAGGCUGCAACUCGCCUGCACGAAGUCGGAAUUGCUAGUAAUCGCAGAUCAGCAUGCUGCGGUGAAUACGUUCCCGGGCCUUGUACA